RNAcentral lists this ribosomal RNA (636 nucleotides) under Triticum aestivum (bread wheat). Its description in RNAcentral is "partial small subunit ribosomal RNA". Lineage: Eukaryota; Viridiplantae; Streptophyta; Magnoliopsida; Poales; Poaceae. The record is from RNAcentral.
AUGGGCAUUGACAACAAAAAGGAAUUCUAUUGCAAACCCGAAGUCAACCGCUUAUAUGCAUCUGUUAUUUUGCACGCAAGGCGCAGUGCAGAAGAAUCACCCGAUACGGAUAACAGCCCAAGACUCAUCGAAUUCGAGGGAUACUUUGUAAUCUUGAGGGAGCUCGCAGAGUCCAUGAAGUGUGGUGGUUUCGUCGUUUCGCAUAUUUUCCAAGUUGGGUUACAGUCUAUAAUUUACAACUUGCCAGCAGACUCAAAGAAGGUUAUCAUGCCAGUUAAAUUCUCGGUCAGGUUACAACAGAUGAUAUGGAAUACAAAAGAGAUGACUGCCAGGUUUAACAAGUCAAAUCACUUGGACCGAAAAGACAUGAUUAUGUCUACUAUCCUAGAGAACAUUGACCCAGAAAAACCAAUAUCGGGGAAUCAUUACUGGGCGUUCAAUUUGAACAUAAGGGACAAGAGGUUUGAAGUCCUUGAUUCCUGGAGGACACUAGAUAAUCCUGUCUUGGACAAGAACACUAGGUUGAUAGCAGCAGCUGUUCGUAGUUUAUGGGAGCAUCAUUAUGGCCACUCACGUGUUGUGCUGGAUAAGUUUCUGCUAGUCAACAUCGAUGUCCCGAGGCAGAACAAUGAGUAA